RNAcentral lists this ribosomal RNA (2639 nucleotides) under Klebsiella pneumoniae. Its description in RNAcentral is "bacterial LSU rRNA". It matches the Rfam family "Bacterial large subunit ribosomal RNA". Lineage: Bacteria; Pseudomonadati; Pseudomonadota; Gammaproteobacteria; Enterobacterales; Enterobacteriaceae. The record is from RNAcentral.
ACUAUCGUUAACUGAAUACAUAGGUUAACGAGGCGAACCGGGGGAACUGAAACAUCUAAGUACCCCGAGGAAAAGAAAUCAACCGAGAUUCCCCCAGUAGCGGCGAGCGAACGGGGAGCAGCCCAGAGUCUGAAUCAGCUUGUGUGUUAGUGGAACGGUCUGGAAAGUCCGACGGUACAGGGUGAUAGUCCCGUACACCAAAAUGCACAGGUUGUGAACUCGAAGAGUAGGGCGGGACACGUGGUAUCCUGUCUGAAUAUGGGGGGACCAUCCUCCAAGGCUAAAUACUCCUGACUGACCGAUAGUGAACCAGUACCGUGAGGGAAAGGCGAAAAGAACCCCGGCGAGGGGAGUGAAAAAGAACCUGAAACCGUGUACGUACAAGCAGUGGGAGCACCUUCGGGUGUGACUGCGUACCUUUUGUAUAAUGGGUCAGCGACUUAUAUUCUGUAGCAAGGUUAACCGUAUAGGGGAGCCGCAGGGAAACCGAGUCUUAACUGGGCGUUAAGUUGCAGGGUAUAGACCCGAAACCCGGUGAUCUAGCCAUGGGCAGGUUGAAGGUUGGGUAACACUAACUGGAGGACCGAACCGACUAAUGUUGAAAAAUUAGCGGAUGACUUGUGGCUGGGGGUGAAAGGCCAAUCAAACCGGGAGAUAGCUGGUUCUCCCCGAAAGCUAUUUAGGUAGCGCCUCGUGAACUCAUCUUCGGGGGUAGAGCACUGUUUCGGCUAGGGGGUCAUCCCGACUUACCAACCCGAUGCAAACUACGAAUACCGAAGAAUGUUAUCACGGGAGACACACGGCGGGUGCUAACGUCCGUCGUGAAGAGGGAAACAACCCAGACCGCCAGCUAAGGUCCCAAAGUCAUGGUUAAGUGGGAAACGAUGUGGGAAGGCACAGACAGCCAGGAUGUUGGCUUAGAAGCAGCCAUCAUUUAAAGAAAGCGUAAUAGCUCACUGGUCGAGUCGGCCUGCGCGGAAGAUGUAACGGGGCUAAACCAUGCACCGAAGCUGCGGCAGCGACACUAUGUGUUGUUGGGUAGGGGAGCGUUCUGUAAGCCUGCGAAGGUGACCUGUGAGGGUUGCUGGAGGUAUCAGAAGUGCGAAUGCUGACAUAAGUAACGAUAAAGCGGGUGAAAAGCCCGCUCGCCGGAAGACCAAGGGUUCCUGUCCAACGUUAAUCGGGGCAGGGUGAGUCGACCCCUAAGGCGAGGCCGAAAGGCGUAGUCGAUGGGAAACAGGUUAAUAUUCCUGUACUUGGUGUUACUGCGAAGGGGGGACGGAGAAGGCUAUGUUAGCCGGGCGACGGUUGUCCCGGUUUAAGCAUGUAGGCUGAUUGUCCAGGCAAAUCCGGAUAAUCAAGGCUGAGGUGUGAUGACGAGGCACUACGGUGCUGAAGUAACAAAUGCCCUGCUUCCAGGAAAAGCCUCUAAGCAUCAGGUAACAUUAAAUCGUACCCCAAACCGACACAGGUGGUCAGGUAGAGAAUACCAAGGCGCUUGAGAGAACUCGGGUGAAGGAACUAGGCAAAAUGGUGCCGUAACUUCGGGAGAAGGCACGCUGGUGUGUAGGUGAAGUCCCUGCGGAUGGAGCUGAGACCAGUCGAAGAUACCAGCUGGCUGCAACUGUUUAUUAAAAACACAGCACUGUGCAAACACGAAAGUGGACGUAUACGGUGUGACGCCUGCCCGGUGCCGGAAGGUUAAUUGAUGGGGUUAUCCGUAAGGAGAAGCUCUUGAUCGAAGCCCCGGUAAACGGCGGCCGUAACUAUAACGGUCCUAAGGUAGCGAAAUUCCUUGUCGGGUAAGUUCCGACCUGCACGAAUGGCGUAAUGAUGGCCAGGCUGUCUCCACCCGAGACUCAGUGAAAUUGAACUCGCUGUGAAGAUGCAGUGUACCCGCGGCAAGACGGAAAGACCCCGUGAACCUUUACUAUAGCUUGACACUGAACAUUGAGCCUUGAUGUGUAGGAUAGGUGGGAGGCUUUGAAGCGUGGACGCCAGUCUGCGUGGAGCCAACCUUGAAAUACCACCCUUUAAUGUUUGAUGUUCUAACGUUGGCCCCUGACCGGGGUUGCGGACAGUGUCUGGUGGGUAGUUUGACUGGGGCGGUCUCCUCCCAAAGCGUAACGGAGGAGCACGAAGGUUAGCUAAUCCUGGUCGGACAUCAGGAGGUUAGUGCAAUGGCAUAAGCUAGCUUGACUGCGAGCGUGACGGCGCGAGCAGGUGCGAAAGCAGGUCAUAGUGAUCCGGUGGUUCUGAAUGGAAGGGCCAUCGCUCAACGGAUAAAAGGUACUCCGGGGAUAACAGGCUGAUACCGCCCAAGAGUUCAUAUCGACGGCGGUGUUUGGCACCUCGAUGUCGGCUCAUCACAUCCUGGGGCUGAAGUAGGUCCCAAGGGUAUGGCUGUUCGCCAUUUAAAGUGGUACGCGAGCUGGGUUUAGAACGUCGUGAGACAGUUCGGUCCCUAUCUGCCGUGGGCGCUGGAGAAUUGAGGGGGGCUGCUCCUAGUACGAGAGGACCGGAGUGGACGCAUCACUGGUGUUCGGGUUGUCAUGCCAAUGGCACUGCCCGGUAGCUAAAUGCGGAAGAGAUAAGUGCUGAAAGCAUCUAAGCACGAAACUUGCCCCGAGAUGAGUUCU